RNAcentral lists this signal recognition particle RNA (299 nucleotides) under Aotus nancymaae (Ma's night monkey). Its description in RNAcentral is "Metazoan signal recognition particle RNA (ENSANAG00000011088.1)". It matches the Rfam family "Metazoan signal recognition particle RNA". From Rfam's summary of the family: The signal recognition particle (SRP) is a universally conserved ribonucleoprotein. Lineage: Eukaryota; Metazoa; Chordata; Mammalia; Primates; Aotidae. The record is from RNAcentral.
ACCAGGUGCGGUGGUGCAUACCUGUAGUCCCAGCUACUCGGGAGGAUGAGGUGGGAGGAUCGCUUGAGCCCAGGAGUUCUGAGCUGCAGUGCGCUAUGCCGAUCGGGUAUCCGCACUAAGUUCGGCAUCAAUAUGGUGACCUCCCGGGAGCCAGGGACCACCAGGUUGCCUAAGGAGGGAUGAACCGGCCCAGGUCAGAAAUGGAGCAGGUCAAAACUCCCGUGCUGAUAAGCAGUGGGAUGGCGCCUGUGAAUAGCCACUGCACUCCAGCCUAGGCAACAUAGUGAGACCCGGUCUCU